AGCAGGUUAGCUCCAUGGGCUUUCGCAGCCCGGUCCGCUACAACAUUUGACUCCCUUUUGCAAUGGGAAACCCUAAGAUUAGGGCAUCGAAGGAGAAGGUCUGCAUUUUCGUCGAAGAGGCAACGGAGCUCCCAUGGCGUCAGAGUCGGAUUACGGAUGGCAUUCACCAAUGUUAAACAGUCCGAUUCCAGGUCUAUUCGAUCCAUCUCCAGUCCUUUCUGUAUCACGAAUUUCAGUGUGAGAUUCAACGCUAUCACCUCUGUUUGCAGGGCCGAAGAUGUAGAGACAGAUUUCGCAAAUCCAUCGAUUAAUAUGCCUGAAGAAUUUCUGCACACACAAGCAACGGAAGCUUCGCUGUCGAAAGGUUGGUAAGCCGCGUCGAUAUUUAUCUUGAUUACUCCUUGAUCCGGUGGAAUCCAUCGUAGAUCUGUUGCUGACUGUGGUGAACCCCUUUCUUCCGAGUAGCAUUGAAAGAUCGGUUGGAUCUGGCAGAUACGAGGGCCGCUUGCACCACAAAUUCGGCAUUUGGUAGCUGCUGGCGAAAGAUGAAAGUAUUCCUUGCUUUCCAGAUGUGCCAUAGGAGAGCGGAAAUUAAUUCCAGAUCCG
RNAcentral lists this long non-coding RNA (606 nucleotides) under Eucalyptus grandis. Its description in RNAcentral is "long non-coding RNA (EGRA_LNC006802)". Lineage: Eukaryota; Viridiplantae; Streptophyta; Magnoliopsida; Myrtales; Myrtaceae. The record is from RNAcentral.